GCGAGAGUAGCCAAGCCUGGCCAAAGGCGCUGGACUUAAGAUCCAGUUACGCAGGUAUUCAAGGGUUCGAAUCCCUUCUCUCGCA
Molecule: transfer RNA, 85 nt
Filed under: Methanomicrobiales archaeon
Lineage: Archaea; Methanobacteriati; Methanobacteriota; Methanomicrobia; Methanomicrobiales
Description: tRNA-Leu
Rfam family: tRNA
About the family: Transfer RNA (tRNA) molecules are approximately 80 nucleotides in length.
Source: RNAcentral